AUACGGAGGGUGCAAGCGUUAAUCGGAAUUACUGGGCGUAAAGCGUACGUAGGCGGUUUAUUAAGUCAGAUGUGAAAGCCCCGGGCUUAACCUGGGAACUGCAUUUGAAACUAGUAGACUAGAGUAUGGUAGAGGGGGGUAGAAUUCCUAGUGUAGCGGUGAAAUGCGUAGAUAUUAGGAGGAAUACCAGUGGCGAAGGCGGCCCCCUGGACCAAUAUUGACGCUGAGGUACGAAAGCGUGGGGAGCGAACAGGAUUAGAUACCCGAGUAGUCC
Molecule: ribosomal RNA, 274 nt
Filed under: uncultured bacterium
Lineage: Bacteria
Description: partial 16S ribosomal RNA
Rfam family: Bacterial small subunit ribosomal RNA
Source: RNAcentral